UACAGAGGGUGCAAGCGUUAAUCGGAAUUACUGGGCGUAAAGCGUGCGUAGACGGUUACAUAAGUCGGGUGUGAAAGCCCCGGGCUCAACCUGGGAAUUGCAUUCGAGACUGCGUAGCUAGGGUGCGGAAGAGGGAAGCGGAAUUUCCGGUGUAGCGGUGAAAUGCGUAGAUAUCGGAAGGAACACCAGUGGCGAAGGCGGCUCACUGGCCCGGUACUGACGCUGAGGUGCGAAAGCGUGGGGAGCAAACAGG
RNAcentral lists this ribosomal RNA (253 nucleotides) under uncultured bacterium. RNAcentral's name for it is "partial 16S ribosomal RNA". It matches the Rfam family "Bacterial small subunit ribosomal RNA", at positions 524 to 776 of the family's 1533-position model. The record is from RNAcentral.